AGCGAACGCUGGCGGCAUGCCUAACACAUGCAAGUCUGACGGGCCUGGGGCUUGCUCCGGGUCAGUGGCGGACGGGUGAGGAACGCGUAGGAACGUAUCCAAGGGUGGGGGAUAACCGCGGGAAACUGCGGCUAAUACCGCAUGGGGCCGCGGGGAGACCUGGGGCCAAAGGCUGGGCAACCAGUCGCCGAUGGAGCGGCCUGCGUCCGAUUAGCUAGUUGGUGGGGUGACGGCUUACCAAGGCUACGAUCGGUAGCUGGUCUGAGAGGAUGAUCAGCCACACUGGGACUGAGACACGGCCCAGACUCCUACGGGAGGCAGCAGUGGGGAGUAUUGGACAAUGGGCGAAAGCCUGAUCCAGCAAUGCCGCGUGGGUGAAGAAGGUCUUCGGAUUGUAAAGCCCUUUCGGGCGGGGACGAUGAUGACGUACCCGCAGAAGAACGCCCCGGCUAACUUCGUGCCAGCAGCCGCCGCCGUAAU
This 480-nucleotide ribosomal RNA is filed under the name uncultured bacterium. RNAcentral's name for it is "bacterial SSU rRNA". It matches the Rfam family "Bacterial small subunit ribosomal RNA", at positions 30 to 524 of the family's 1533-position model. The record is from RNAcentral.